UGUCAGCCAUCUCGCGUCGCCGCGAAAACGCGACAGUCGUUCGUCAUGCCUUGUAUAUAAGAACAAAUCCUCCACGGUCCCCUUACUGGCCUGCUAUGCUCUCGCUUCUCCUGCAGAAAAGUCCUUCUCGUCUGCUCUUUCCUCGCGGGCAUCGCUGUGAGCCUGUGCUACUUCGCAGAAAGCACCCUCUUUAUUGUCGUCUUCUUUGGAAUCAUUAACGGGAUCACGCUUUCGGGGCUAUACAUCGCUGUUAACCUGCUCGUGGCACAGUACUUCGAGAAGCGGAGGGCCACCGCCUGCAGCUUGAUGUUCACCGCCGGAGGACUCAACACAAUCGUCUUUCCACCGCUUAUAGAUCUCUUCUACUCACGCUAUGGUAUCCACGCCGCGUUCUUACUCUAUGGAGCCAUCUUGAUGAACGCAUUUCCAUGCUGCAUCGCUCUAAGAGACCCACCAUGGUUAGAUAAGCACAAAUUCUUGGGCAAAAGAAAACGCCGAGCGUUCGACGCUGUUAGCACUACAAGGAGUCCUGUAGGCGGGGAUACCACUUCUCAAGACACCAAUAUAGCGAAAUGUGUUGAAAGUAACGAUGAACUGCAUCUUUUCUUGGACAAAAGGAGUGUAGAGGAAAAUGUGCAACGUAUCAGCUUAACUAAUACCAAUGGUACACCCACCUCCUCCCGCUUUUCGACGAGCAGCAGGCUGGAGAGAAAUUACGUUGUUGAGUGUUUCAAGCAUAAACUGGCACCAUUCACCACACUAUCAUUUUUAGUGAGUGCUGUGUCGUUCACGGUUGUGAACUUCGGGAUGGCAUUAUACGUCAUGCUUUCAACAGACCUAGCAAGUGACCAUGGCGUUGAACCUUCAAGCUCAGUUUAUCUUCUUCACGCUUUCUCCGCGAGUGACAUCGUCUCCAGAGCUCUCAGCGGUGUCAUCAUCGACUCUAAGAUUCU
Dermacentor albipictus is the source of this 953-nucleotide non-coding RNA. Lineage: Eukaryota; Metazoa; Arthropoda; Arachnida; Ixodida; Ixodidae. The record is from RefSeq and is a predicted model, not a curated record.